GGGCUGGCCUUUUCCUCUCCCAGAGAGGAUACCGGGACGCUCCUGAAGCCGCGAGAUGAUUUCAAGCAGAUGCAGCCUGACCAUUAGGGCCAAGGCCAAAUUGCAAAAAAAAAAAGAAGUUUGCCUUUAUUCUACUCCAUCCACAUCUAAACUUUGGAGGUCAAGGCUGUGGACAGAUCAGAAGACAUAGUUCCCUCCUUCUGGGGCUCCACAUCCUUCAUUCACUGAUCUCUGGGAAGGAGGAUGGGUGGCAGGAUGGGUCUUCCAUGAUACUGAAGGGAGAGCCACAUGUUGAUGCCCAGGACCAGCUGCCUCCUUGGUCUGAAAGGCCUGAUCGAGGCCAGGAUUGGCUAUGAGAGCUGGGAAAUGGGACCAUCUUUGAAGCCAUGGGAGAGGGUGAGAGCCACCAUCACUCAUGUUCUUGAAUGGGAACUGCCUGGAGACCCUGAAGAAGAAGGAGCCUGAAGGAGGAAGGAGGAGGCUGAGCCAUCCCGGGAACAUGGGCUGGAUGAGGCCAAGCCAGGAGACGACACCACCAGAUAGAAGUCACCAUUCAGGAUUUGGACUUUUCUGUGGAGAUCCUGGCCCCGAGAUCGAACCCUUCUCCCUGUGGGUGUUCCCGCAGGAGAUGGUGCUGGAGAUCCACCAGCUGUUCAUGGACCAUGAAUACCCAUGUCACCACAUCACUUCUCACUGCACCUGGGUGGCAGCACACUGGACCACGUCUCAGAGCUGCGCAGCAUGGCAGGGCUGCAGGCGGGCUUGCUGCUCCACGUGGUGGAAGCCCCUGAAAGUGCUCACCGUGAGCGGCUGGUACCUGUCCCCUGGGAACUGCAAGAUGCACAGGACCUUGUGUACCUGUUUGUGAUCACAGCCGAGGACCAGCGAGGUAGCAUUACCACAUCCACACAGGGCUUUUACCAUAACUGCCCCAGUACUGGAACGAGGAGCUGCAGAUGAUGAGGGACCUACCCAACAAGAACCAACCUGAGCAGCUGCUUCAAGAAAAAGCCAUGUUCAAGGUGCCUGAAUCCCCUGGUAAGUGAGUGACAGCCUCACAGCCUCAGGCCCACCUGGCUCCUGCUGGAAGGUUUUCUUGUGCUCGGGAGAGAAGUGAGGGAAGCCGGCAGUCCCAGCCCUGUCAGGUGCCCUGAAGGCCCGUCAGGUUUGCCCUGCAAGGCCUUCUAGCAUUCUGCUUCCUGGGAGACCAUCCCCCACCUUUCUCCGGCCUCUGAGACUUUGAGUCCUUGGGAGGAGAAGGCCCUCCUUGCUAUCUGGGCUGAGUGGCCAGGGCCAUCCAGCUUCCCACCCUCCACUGACUGCCAUGGGGCCCUCCCCUGAGCACAUGGUGCCCAACUGUAGCCCUUCUAGGGCAGGGGCUCAUUGGCAGCACUUGCAGCUUGCUGGCACUUAAAAGUCAUUAGUGCGGUUACUGAGAGAAAUGAGGAAAAAAUAAUUGUUAAAAAAAAAAAAAAA
Homo sapiens (human) is the source of this 1476-nucleotide long non-coding RNA. Lineage: Eukaryota; Metazoa; Chordata; Mammalia; Primates; Hominidae. The record is from Ensembl.